GUGCAUUAUGGAAAAUAUGUCACUUGAGGUGUGGAUGUGUGAGAAAGCUGAGCUUAGACGAUAGAAACGCUCUUCUGAAGUUUUGAACAGUUUGUAUGGAUGGGUGGAUUUGUCUUGGAGCUCAGUUGCAUUCUAAAUUUCUUUCCAGUUUACUUUCUCUAGAUCUUCAAUCACAUUGCAAAAUGCAAUCUAUGCUGCACUAUCAGGUAGUUCAAGUGACGGCUCGGGGUCUGUUUCCACCACAAGUACUUGCUUUUAUGUGAUAAACGUAUAUCAAGUUGAUAACUCCUGCUGUAGCGUUGUAUUAUUUGACUCCAAGCAUUCCCUCACAUGUACCCGAUAUCCAAAUCAGUGAGCAAAAAUAAGCAUUCCGAUCCUUUAUUUAGUAUCAUUGGCAAUUCAACCUCAUAUCCAUGGCUUCUCAGAGAAUACGCCAUAUGUUUUUAGGCUGAAGGAGCUCAUCACUAUUCAAACCAUCCCUAAUUAUGCGAGUGGCGCUCUAAACGCUUAGAUGAUCUGAUCGACAGUGGAUCGAUUAUCAACCCGCUUGUUGAAGUGAGUCCAUCUGAUGCGCUCGAAGGUUAGAGGACAUUGCGCUACCACGUAGUUGGCGAGGAAUUGGCAGAAUGGCUGCCCAUGGGUCAUUCACAUCCGAUACCUAUGAUAUGAUAACUACUUCGAGCCAAGCAAAUAACCAGUGCUGGGAAUUGUGCUGAGGAUCUCCACCAAUAUCUCAAUUCCCUUUCACGGAGAUUAUGGAAGGCUUUAGUUUGUAGAUCCUGGAUGAGGAUCUGGACAGAUCAUGAGCUUGCUGUGACCGUGCGCAGAUGUCCUUUUUGCAAUUGCUACUCACAGUUAAUCGCUCUCCUUGCUUCCAGACUCUUACCAGAAUAUAGCACAUAUAUCAUUGACAGCAAGUGAAAUCGCAUGGGAUUGAUUCUUUCGUGCAGUUUUCUUUCCGUUCCAA
This 967-nucleotide small RNA is filed under the name Histoplasma capsulatum var. duboisii H88. Its description in RNAcentral is "Histoplasma capsulatum H88 hypothetical RNA". The record is from RNAcentral. Lineage: Eukaryota; Fungi; Ascomycota; Eurotiomycetes; Onygenales; Ajellomycetaceae.